UCGUAGUUGGAUACGAAUAGGCCUCCGGGCCACGAACCUCAGCAGGCUGGCGACGGCUCCCCGGGAGAAGGCCCGGGGAGCUGGCUGGCUGAUUGCAAUGUCACCUCGCGCGGGGAUGAAUCCUCUGCAUACGACUGAAGUGACCAAGCGGGUCGUGUAAGCGGUCAAGUAGCCUUGUUGCUACGAGUCGCUGAGCGUCACCCGACCUUGGCUAGAUUU
RNAcentral lists this ribosomal RNA (219 nucleotides) under Aspergillus parasiticus. RNAcentral describes it as "partial 28S large subunit ribosomal RNA". It matches the Rfam family "Eukaryotic large subunit ribosomal RNA", at positions 3176 to 3399 of the family's 3401-position model. Lineage: Eukaryota; Fungi; Ascomycota; Eurotiomycetes; Eurotiales; Aspergillaceae. The record is from RNAcentral.